GGGCAUUCUGUUUUAGAAGCAUGUGACUAAGUCCAUAUUCAGGGGAAAGGGAACUGGAUUCCAUCUCUUGAUGAGAGAAGUGUCAAAGAAUUUGCAUACAUGUUUUAAACUACCACACCCUUGUUCCUGAGUGGUAAAUAAAUUAUAGGAGGGCAACAGUGGAAGAAGGGAGGCCGAGUAGGAGUCAGUGCAGUAUCCAGGCAAGAAAUGACAAUGGAGUGGAGAUGAAAGAUGUGCAGAAUGCUAGGACGCACCUGGAAGUUUUCUAGGUGGAGGUUCUGGAGCUGACCCUAAGGAAAACUGCUAUGGUAAAAUAUGGAAAAAGGACUAUGGGAUCUUGGACAGAAGUCUCCAACUUCAACUGGAAAAGUAAGAGAAGGUGGCACAGGAAACCAAUAACCCAGCUGCUCCUUGGUGUUGGCUCAAUGCUCCUCCAUGUCAGAGCUGAUGGGCUCUAUUCCUUCACCUCGGCCAAGCAUUCCGAGAGUGCACUGGUCUAUAUAUUAGAAAAUCA
This 514-nucleotide long non-coding RNA is filed under the name Equus asinus (donkey). RNAcentral describes it as "lncRNA (ENSEASG00005025256.1)". Lineage: Eukaryota; Metazoa; Chordata; Mammalia; Perissodactyla; Equidae. The record is from RNAcentral.